UAGAGUUUGAUCAUGGCUCAGGAUGAACGCUAGCGGCAGGCUUAACACAUGCAAGUCGAGGGGUAGGGCAGCAAUGCUUGAGACCGGCGCACGGGUGCGUAACGCGUAUGCAAUCUACCUUUUGCAGAGGGAUAGCCCAGAGAAAUUUGGAUUAAUACCUCAUAGUAUAAUGAAUUCGCAUGGAUUUAUUAUUAAAGUAACAACGGCAAAAGAUGAGCAUGCGUCCCAUUAGCUAGAUGGUAAGGUAACGGCUUACCAUGGCGACGAUGGGUAGGGGUCCUGAGAGGGAGAUCCCCCACACUGGUACUGAGACACGGACCAGACUCCUACGGGAGGCAGCAGUGAGGAAUAUUGGACAAUGGGCGCAAGCCUGAUCCAGCCAUGCCGCGUGCAGGAUGACGGUCCUAUGGAUUGUAAACUGCUUUUGUACAGGAAGAAACCCUCGGACGUGUCCGAGAUUGACGGUACUGUAAGAAUAAGGAUCGGCUAACUCCGUGCCAGCAGCCGCGGUAAUACGGAGGAUCCAAGCGUUAUCCGGAAUCAUUGGGUUUAAAGGGUCCGUAGGCGGUUUAGUAAGUCAGUGGUGAAAGCCCAUCGCUCAACGGUGGAACGGCCAUUGAUACUGCUAGACUUGAAUUAUAAGGAAGUAACUAGAAUAUGUAGUGUAGCGGUGAAAUGCUUAGAUAUUACAUGGAAUACCAAUUGCGAAGGCAGGUUACUACUUAUGGAUUGACGCUGAUGGACGAAAGCGUGGGUAGCGAACAGGAUUAGAUACCCUGGUAGUCCACGCCGUAAACGAUGGAUACUAG
RNAcentral lists this ribosomal RNA (809 nucleotides) under uncultured Bacteroidota bacterium. Its description in RNAcentral is "bacterial SSU rRNA". It matches the Rfam family "Bacterial small subunit ribosomal RNA", at positions 1 to 819 of the family's 1533-position model. Lineage: Bacteria; Pseudomonadati; Bacteroidota. The record is from RNAcentral.